AUGGACGAAAGUCUGAUGGAGCAACGCCGCGUGAGUGAAGAAGGGUUUCGGCUCGUAAAACUCUGUUGUUAAAGAAGAACAUAUCUGAGAGUAACUGUUCAGGUAUUGACGGUAUUUAACCAGAAAGCCACGGCUAACUACGUGCCAGCAGCCGCGGUAAUACGUAGGUGGCAAGCGUUGUCCGGAUUUAUUGGGCGUAAAGCGAGCGCAGGCGGUUUUUUAAGUCUGAUGUGAAAGCCUUCGGCUUAACCGAAGAAGUGCAUCGGAAACUGGGAAACUUGAGUGCAGAAGAGGACAGUGGAACUCCAUGUGUAGCGGUGAAAUGCGUAGAUAUAUGGAAGAACACCAGUGGCGAAGGCGGCUGUCUGGUCUGUAACUGACGCUGAGGCUCGAAAGUAUGGGUAGCAAACAGGAUUAGAUACCCUGGUAGUCCAUACCGUAAACGAUGAAUGCUAAGUGUUGGAGGGUUUCCGCCCUUCAGUGCUGCAGCUAACGCAUUAAGCAUUCCGCCUGGGGAGUACGGCCGCAAGGCUGAAACUCAAAGGAAUUGACGGGGGCCCGCACAAGCGGUGGAGCAUGUGGUUUAAUUCGAAGCUACGCGAAGAACC
Molecule: ribosomal RNA, 608 nt
Filed under: Lactiplantibacillus plantarum
Lineage: Bacteria; Bacillati; Bacillota; Bacilli; Lactobacillales; Lactobacillaceae
Description: bacterial SSU rRNA
Rfam family: Bacterial small subunit ribosomal RNA
Source: RNAcentral